GGAGAGGUGGCUGAGUGGUUGAAGGCAGCGGUCUUGAAAACCGCCAUACCGCUUGCGGUAUCGUGGGUUCGAAUCCCACCCUCUCCGCCA
Molecule: transfer RNA, 90 nt
Filed under: Lentisphaerae bacterium GWF2_49_21
Lineage: Bacteria; Pseudomonadati; Lentisphaerota
Also listed under: 2 other names
Description: tRNA-Ser
Rfam family: tRNA
About the family: Transfer RNA (tRNA) molecules are approximately 80 nucleotides in length. Their secondary structure includes four short double-helical elements and three loops (D, anti-codon, and T loops). Further hydrogen bonds mediate the characteristic L-shaped molecular structure. tRNAs have two regions of fundamental functional importance: the anti-codon, which is responsible for specific mRNA codon recognition, and the 3' end, to which the tRNAs corresponding amino acid is attached (by aminoacyl-tRNA synthetases). tRNAs cope with the degeneracy of the genetic code in two manners: having more than one tRNA (with a specific anti-codon) for a particular amino acid; and 'wobble' base-pairing, i.e. permitting non-standard base-pairing at the 3rd anti-codon position.
Source: RNAcentral